GUGUAAAGUGCAUUGAAUUUGAGCUACUUUUUAGAACCUAGUAAUUUUAGACUAAUUUUGAUAUCAUAUUACUUAAAAGAAUCAGUAUAUUAUAUGUGUGAAAAUUAGAAAUAUUUUAUUUUACGGUGCCGAUCAGAAAGAAAAAAUUAAGCUAACAGUGAAUUAUGUCUAUUAAACGGGCUUAGGCCUAGUCCAAAAGCUUAAGCUAAUAGUGCGUUUAUAUCAACCGACCGUUCCUAGCGCAAGUGGCAAAAGAUUUGGUAGUUGAUAGCUGAGGUCCAAAGUUCGAAUCUUAGUUGAUUCAUAUUUCCAGCUAAAUUUAUCUCUAAAUGAAAUAAACAAAGCGGGUAGCAUACUAUCUAUUUCUCUUUCAAAAAAAAGUCCAUUUAUAUCCGAUACGGGACUAUCAUUCCUAAC
Molecule: long non-coding RNA, 417 nt
Filed under: Ananas comosus (pineapple)
Lineage: Eukaryota; Viridiplantae; Streptophyta; Magnoliopsida; Poales; Bromeliaceae
Description: long non-coding RNA (ACOM_LNC006255)
Source: RNAcentral